This 142-nucleotide unclassified non-coding RNA is filed under the name uncultured Leotiomycetes. RNAcentral describes it as "sequence contains ITS2". Lineage: Eukaryota; Fungi; Ascomycota; Leotiomycetes. The record is from RNAcentral.
CAACCAAUCCAGCUCGCUGGGUCUUGGGCACCACCAGCUGGUGGGCCUCGAAAUCAGUGGCGGUCUAGCCAGGCUCUGAGCGUAGUAAAUCUCCUCGCUAUAGACUCUGGGUAGCACCUGCCAGAACCCCCCAUUUCUCCUU